GAUGAACGCUGGCGGCGUGCUUAACACAUGCAAGUCGAACGGUGAAGGCGGAGCUUGCUCUGCUGGAUCAGUGGCGAACGGGUGAGUAACACGUGAGCAAUCUGCCCCUGACUCUGGGAUAAGCGCUGGAAACGGCGUCUAAUACUGGAUACGAGCUGCGAAGGCAUCUUCAGCAGCUGGAAAGAAUUUCGGUCAGGGAUGAGCUCGCGGCCUAUCAGCUUGUUGGUGAGGUAAUGGCUCACCAAGGCGUCGACGGGUAGCCGGCCUGAGAGGGUGACCGGCCACACUGGGAAUGAGACACGGCCCAGACUCCUACGGGAGGCAGCGGUGGGGAAUAUUGCACAAGGGGCGAAAGCCUGAUGCAGCAACGCCGCGUGAGGGAGGACGGCCUUCGGGUUGUAAACCUCUUUUAGCAGGGAAGAAGCGAAAGUGACGGUACCUGCAGAAAAAGCGCCGGCUAACUACGUG
RNAcentral lists this ribosomal RNA (468 nucleotides) under uncultured bacterium. Its description in RNAcentral is "partial 16S ribosomal RNA". It matches the Rfam family "Bacterial small subunit ribosomal RNA", at positions 28 to 507 of the family's 1533-position model. The record is from RNAcentral.